This 253-nucleotide ribosomal RNA is filed under the name uncultured bacterium. RNAcentral describes it as "partial 16S ribosomal RNA". It matches the Rfam family "Bacterial small subunit ribosomal RNA", at positions 524 to 776 of the family's 1533-position model. The record is from RNAcentral.
UACGUAGGGGGCAAGCGUUGUCCGGAUUUAUUGGGCGUAAAGAGCGUGUAGGCGGCCAGGUAGGUCUGCUGUGAAAACUCGAGGCUCAACCUCGAGACGUCGGCGGAAACCAUCUGGCUAGAGUCCGGAAGAGGAUAGUGGAAUUCCCGGUGUAGUGGUGAAAUGCGUAGAUAUCGGGAGGAGCACCAGUGGCGAAGGCGACUAUCUGGGCUGCAACUGACGCUGAGGCGCGAAGGCUAGGGUAGCAAACAGG